Cynoglossus semilaevis (tongue sole) is the source of this 1593-nucleotide long non-coding RNA. RefSeq lists it as uncharacterized. The record is from RefSeq and is a predicted model, not a curated record. The transcript has 2 exons. Lineage: Eukaryota; Metazoa; Chordata; Actinopteri; Pleuronectiformes; Cynoglossidae.
GGGGUUGUUAGGGGUUGAAAAUAAAAAAAAACAUAGCUCAAAAUAAAAACAUUUACAUAGUUUUUAUCUCCAGCUGUGGUUUGCUAGCAGAGUUGAAAAAGUGACUCAACAAUGACCCCAGAAGUCGGCCUAAAAUAUUUUUGCCCACACAUAUGACAACCUUUUCAUUGUUGUCCCAUGACAGACUAAGCUUUGCUCAACUUUUUCCAGCGCAAAAGUAAACUAUGUUUUUUAUGUAGGAAUCUAUUAUUAAAUAUGAUUAAAAUGUGUUUAUAAUUAAACAGAAAAUGUGUAGCUAGGAAUAAUGGUGCUAGCUAGGAACAACCCCUUCACUGAGAGACAUGAUGGUGGGUUUAAAAUAAAAUCUGUGAAAUUAAAUAAAUGAUACAAAGUCUUUUACCAAAAUUGUGCUUAUUAUUUAACUAAAAACACUCCAGGUUUGGUUUGUCCGUGCUUGUGAACAGACUCUGAUAAGAUCACAGGUGAGUCAUACCAGCAUCAAUGCAGAUUGUCAGUGCAUCAAACGCUACGACAGCUGCCGGUUUGACGUAACUCAUGCAGCCUUUUCAUCUUUUUUCUGCAGUCUCUCUCCCACACUAUGAAUAUAUGCAGAAUUAGGUUUUUUUUUAUGUAUUUAUUUGAGAGCGUUAACUGACCUUGAAAAAAUCAGAGUGAGUUUUCUUUUCAUCUCUGUGUGUUGAACAGAAGUGUUCUGUCUGUGUUGUCCUUUGCUGAGCAUCAUCUGGGAUUGGUCGAGAUGAUCAAUACAAGGAUAGGAAUAGGAGGAAGAGUAAUCACAUCAAAUACAAAUACAUUCAAAAAACCCACUGGACAGUAAGCAAUAAAAUAACGUUUAUUGAGGUGUAACAAAAUAAAUAAUCUGUUUCGCAACAUAACAAAGUAAGUUCAAUAACGCUCAGCAGACAGGAAAGUGUAACCGAUUCACAGGAGGCUACCUGAUGACACUAUUCUUCAGGGUAAAAAAAACUGGCAUUAAAGAAUCUACAGAUAUUACACCAAAAGUGUGAUGUUUUUUUUAAAUCAAUUCUGAUUGGACUUGUUGGUUAAACUUAGUUACAACAAUCAACAAUCAAGUACCAUGAAAGGUCCGUUUGUAAAGUUCUGCAUGUGUUUUUGUUUCCUCAGAUGUGGAAGUUGUCCUUCGACAAGAGUCAGUUUGAUUGCAACCUAUUCACGCCUCCUCAGGAUGUUACUGUCAUCUGAACAACAAGCCAGCAAGAUCCAAAGCCUACAUCUCUGACUCUGAGCAUGACUUCAUUUUAUGAAGACACAACUGAAGGGAAUAGAAUAAUCACCUUUUAAAUACAACCGAGUUUAGAAAAUCUUCCAUAUACAGUAAGUGAAACACUGUCUGGAACCCAACAGGUGGAAACCAAUUAUUUUUUGGACAAAUACCAGGCGGCCAUUUGUCCUGACAUCCUGUUAGACAAGGGUGCUUGAGAGUAAAUACUACAUGCAAGGAGGUACAAAAUAUCUCUGGACCUAGGGACAGCAGCCUCAUAUUUUUCCAAAAUGUUUUCCAGGCAGAGGUCGUUAAAUAAUUUGUCAUUGUUUAAUGUUGAUUUUAUCACA